GACGAACGCUGGCGGCGUGCUUAACACAUGCAAGUCGAACGAUGAAGCCUUUCGGGGUGGAUUAGUGGCGAACGGGUGAGUAACACGUGGGUAAUCUGCCUUGCACUCUGGGAUAAGCCUGGGAAACUGGGUCUAAUACCGGAUAUGACUACUUCACGCAUGUGGGGUGGUGGAAAGUUCUGGCGGUGUGAGAUGAACCCGCGGCCUAUCAGCUUGUUGGUGGGGUGAUGGCCUACCAAGGCGACGACGGGUAGCCGGCCUGAGAGGGCGACCGGUCACACUGGGACUGAGACACGGCCCAGACUCCUACGGGAGGCAGCAGUGGGGAAUAUUGCACAAUGGGCGAAAGCCUGAUGCAGCGACGCCGCGUGAGGGAUGACGGCCUCGGUU
RNAcentral lists this ribosomal RNA (390 nucleotides) under uncultured bacterium. Its description in RNAcentral is "bacterial SSU rRNA". It matches the Rfam family "Bacterial small subunit ribosomal RNA", at positions 28 to 424 of the family's 1533-position model. The record is from RNAcentral.